GACGAACGCUGGCGGCGUGCUUAACACAUGCAAGUCGAACGAAGAGCGACGGAAGCUUGCUUCUAUCAAUCUUAGUGGCGAACGGGUGAGUAACGCGUAAUCAACCUGCCCUUCAGAGGGGGACAACAGUUGGAAACGACUGCUAAUACCGCAUACGAUCUAAUCUCGGCAUCGAGGAUGGAUGAAAGGUGGCCUCUACAUGUAAGCUAUCACUGAAGGAGGGGAUUGCGUCUGAUUAGCUAGUUGGAGGGGUAACGGCCCACCAAGGCGAUGAUCAGUAGCCGGUCUGAGAGGAUGAACGGCCACAUUGGGACUGAGACACGGCCAGACUCCUACGGGAGGCAGCAGUGGGGAAUCUUCCGCAAUGGACGAAAGUCUGACGGAGCAACGCCGCGUGAGUGAUGACGGCCUUCGGGUUGUAAAGCUCUGUUAAUCGGGACGAAAGGCCUUCUUGCGAAUAGUGAGAAGGAUUGACGGUACCGGAAUAGAAAGCCACGGCUAACUACGUG
This 509-nucleotide ribosomal RNA is filed under the name uncultured bacterium. RNAcentral's name for it is "partial 16S ribosomal RNA". It matches the Rfam family "Bacterial small subunit ribosomal RNA", at positions 28 to 507 of the family's 1533-position model. The record is from RNAcentral.